Molecule: long non-coding RNA, 14192 nt
Filed under: Amborella trichopoda
Lineage: Eukaryota; Viridiplantae; Streptophyta; Magnoliopsida; Amborellales; Amborellaceae
Description: long non-coding RNA (ATRI_LNC004324)
Source: RNAcentral
AGAAAAUAAAUUAAUCUUUCUUAUGAGCAAUUGAUUUCAUUUAAUGUUCCCUACAGCAUGUCACCAUUACAAAACAAAGGCGCAAGUUGGAAUAAGUUUCCAAGUUUUGUUAGAGAGUAGAACAUUGUGGCCUUAUGCUAUUAUAUUACCUGUUUUCUCCCUCAUCUGAAUGCUAAUUUUAGGAAUACUCUAUGUUUGUGCAUGCGUGUGAUCGUGCGCAUGUGUGUGCAUGUGUGUGAUAGAGAAAUACUUAGAUUUGAAUUUUUAGUAUUUAUUAUAUACCUGGGGAGGCAUUAAACUUAUUAUGUAAAGGGAAAAUUAUAAAUGCCCCCCCAAAAUAAACUUUGCAUACAUCCUACCCUCGAAUACUUUUAUUAUCACACCCUAAACGUCAACACUAUUUUUUCUUAUAUUUGCUCCCGCAGUCAAAAAGUCGGAAAAUUUUAGACUAAAUUACCCUUUUAUCCUCUCUACCCACCCUUUCUUUCUCUCUUUCUACCUACCUCUCGCUCUACCCUCUUUACCCACACUCUCUCUCACUCUCUCUACCUGCCCUCUCUCACUCUUUCUCUCUACCCACCCUCUCUCUUUCUCUCUCUACCCUCUCUACCUGUCCUCUCUCUCCAUCCACCCUCUCUUAAUCUUUCUCUCUCUACUAACCCUCUCUUUCUCUACCUACCCUCUCUCUCAAACCUCAGGAUUUUUCCAGCGAGUCUAUUACCUGAGAGGUCAAUUUCAAUAAAAUGCCGACACCCACUACUCUUCAUUAAUUUCCUCUCACCACAAUCAACAUUUCUGCCUCCUGCUAAUGUACAUCCCCCUUUCACUCUCUAGAAUUAUAGUGGCUUCACUCCAGGUCUUUUGGCCUCGAUUUAGCAGAAUCCCAUUUUCAGAGCUUGAAAAUUACUAGUCCUCAUUUAGAAGCAAACAGCACACCUCAAUAAUUUUCAGUUUGUUUCUGCCAAAUGGGGGCCUCGGGAAGCUGGUUGGCUGGAAAUGGUUGUCGCCAAGAAACCAGCUGCUUGGCCAGAAAUGGUGCUCGGUGCCUCAAGGGUAGGGAUCUUGGCUGCUUGAAAACCACCCGUGCUACUAUUCUUCUGGCCGGGAAUGUAAGCCAAAGAGAGAGAAAACCAGCUGGUUGGUCGAAAAUGGUGCUCGAUGCCCCAAGAGUAGGGAUCUAGGCUGCCAAAAAACCACCCGUGCUAUUGUUCUUCUGGCCGGGCAGGAAAGCCGAAGAGAGAGAAAACCAGCCGGUUGGCCAGAAAUGGUGCUCGGUGAUCUUGGCUGCUGGGAAACCACCCGUGCUAUUAGGAAAUGAGGCGGCUGCCUUUCCUAAUCCUCCUCGUGCAGAGAGAGAGAGAGAGAGAGAGAGAGAGAGAGAGAGAGAGAAGUAANNNNNNNNNNNNNNNNNNNNNNNNNNNNNNNNNNNNNNNNNNNNNNNNNNNNNNNNNNNNNNNNNNNNNNNNNNNNNNNNNNNNNNNNNNNNNNNNNNNNNNNNNNNNNNNNNNNNNNNNNNNNNNNNNNNNNNNNNNNNNNNNNNNNNNNNNNNNNNNNNNNNNNNNNNNNNNNNNNNNNNNNNNNNNNNNNNNNNNNNNNNNNNNNNNNNNNNNNNNNNNNNNNNNNNNNNNNNNNNNNNNNNNNNNNNNNNNNNNNNNNNNNNNNNNNNNNNNNNNNNNNNNNNNNNNNNNNNNNNNNNNNNNNNNNNNNNNNNNNNNNNNNNNNNNNNNNNNNNNNNNNNNNNNNNNNNNNNNNNNNNNNNNNNNNNNNNNNNNNNNNNNNNNNNNNNNNNNNNNNNNNNNNNNNNNNNNNNNNNNNNNNNNNNNNNNNNNNNNNNNNNNNNNNNNNNNNNNNNNNNNNNNNNNNNNNNNNNNNNNNGAGAGAGAGAGAGUAAAAUAUCCUCCACGUGUGUACAUAGAGAGGAGUGAAGAAUAAAGUGUUAGAUUUCCAGCUCGUAGAGAGAGAAAGAGAGGGCGGGUAGAGAGAAUAAAACGGCCAUUUAGUCUAAUUUUUUUUGACUGUUUGAUUAGGGGGUUAAAUAUAAAAACAAACAGUGUUGGGGUUUAGUGUGUGAUAUUAACAUUAUUGGGGAGUAGGAUGUGUGCAAUGUUUAUUUUUAAUUGUCAUUUGAUUCGUGUUUUAUUGUUAUUUAUUCCCCAUUUUUUAUCUUUUCCAUUUUUUUCUUGCUUCGAAUAGUUUCUGAAUCCUCUUGAAUUUGCAAGACACAUUGCUCAAUCUUCUGAAAUUGUUUGAAAACGAUGUGAGGAAAUCAGUCUCUAUUUUGUAUAUAAAAAAAAUAAACUCCGGUUGGUCUCUCUCUACCUACAAUCUUUCUUCUUUCUAGCUUUCUGUAAUUGAGGCAGUGUAUUUUUGGGAAAAUUGGUUUGGGUUCUCUCUGUUUUAUAGAUCAUUAGGAUUAACAGGAGAAUCUGGGCAUUUUUAUUCUCUAUGUUAAAGUUAAGGUUGCUAUUAUUAUUAUUAUUACAAUCUCUUCUCUUGAAUUCUUCAGGUUUGAAAUCUGAAAAAGAUGGGAUUACCCAAACUGCAACUUCUCAAGUAUGGAGCGGGGAGGUUUCAGAACUUAGUUAGAAAGAGCUGGUUCAGUUCAGGGUCUGGGUCAAGUGGCCUAAUAAGCCAUAAUGCCAUUGUUGAGGCAAGACACUAUACCGACACUGUGAACCCAUUCAAGGAGGAUAAUACAAGAUUCGUGUGCACAUAGCUAUCGCAUAGGGCACCAUUGAAUGAAUUCACUUUUCAGUUGUUCAACAUGCUCAUGUUUUAGUGCAGUUUUGUGCAAUAACUACUAAAUGCAAAUGAAAACAAAAUGACAUCUUUAUAGAUUGUUUUAUAGAACGUGUUCUAGUUUAUUUUAAUAUAUCGUUUGAUUAGGUUUGAGUGUUUCUUAGGUGUACUCCUUUCAUUGGUGAAUGUUUCUUGAUAAUUUUUGUUAAUCUUUCUCUUUCAGUAUUAUUGGCAUGGUUUUAUUGCUUUCAUAGUGUAGUAAUGUCAUAUAUUGCUGACUAGGUGUUUUUGUGCUGACUAUAAAAGGAAACUAAUUGACAUUCUUAAGCUAUAUUUCAUAAACACUAAUGUUAAUUUUAAGGAUUUGUAUGCGCAUUAUAAGUGGCCUUACUUGUUGGCCUCAAAUACUUCAAUAGCGAAUGGGGUAAUAUUUUGAUCAUUGAAGGAGACUCUACAAAUGUCAGUACUUGGGCUUCUAGAUCAGCUUUUGAUCACAUUUUUGACGAGAUUUCCCACCGAUGCACUGAACUUCAAACUGUCUGGAGGCAUACUUGGAGGGAGGUAAACUCCCUUGAAGGUUCCCUCGCUAAGCAAGGGCCCAAGGCUCCAUCCCUCUGGGAAUUCUGUGACCAGCCUCUAAGAGCUAUCUCCUCGUUUUGUUUGUUUUCCUUUUGACCUUAUGGUCAGCGUGUAAUGUUUGUAUAGUUUUGUUCCUGUUAGGGUUUCUUCUUUCAAACACCCGCAUUGUGGGUGGCCGACUUUUUGUACUCUCCUUAUAGUCAAUGCAUCAAUUAACAUUCUAAAAAAAUAUAGGUUUUUGUGGAACAACUUCCUAAGGAAUUCAAAUACCUAGUGCCAAGUAUAGUUACACUUUAGAGAUCAUAAGCACAUUCAUUUUGAAUGAAAGUUCACUUAGAUCAUGCAUACAUUGAGAGAGUUCUUUAGUGUUGCUGUUGUAAUGGAGCUUUUGCUCUGCAAUAUAGAUUUAAAAGUAUUGUUGUUUACUGUUGGACCCAAAUAUUUCACUUUCCUGUUUUAGCCCAUUUUACCUCAACGGGCAUUUAUUUUAGUGAGGGGAGACUGGAAAACCUUCGAGAAAAUGUUAUACACGAGCUUGGUUGUGAGAACCUUUUUAUUUGUAGCAUUGUCACUCGAAAAACAAACUUGCCUUGGGAAUCGCCAUACACAUUCUUGAGGCCUUCAUCCUUCAUCCUUCGGUAGUGUGCUUGAGUUCACAUUCAAAAUUAAUGGUCCCUCAUGGAUUUCCAUGCUGGGAUUUAUCAUUUCGCUGGUAAUAUUUACAAUGGACAUUAUUACUUAUGUGUUCUAUAUCUUAGGUUGUAUCAAGUUUUUUUUUUCGACUGGGACUCGAGCUUGGAACCUGGCAGGGCUAAGUGUGAAUUAGUGUAUCAGACCAAGUGGAGCCAAGUCCGAUUUGACAGAGUACUAAAAAAUCUAACAAAGGAGCCUUGGAACCAGUGAGAUUCGGUUGAUUGCUAAGGUUAGUACUCUCAAGUCUAAGUUAGACACAACGAGUUACAAAACACUAGUUCUAACUUAUGCUCAUGCGUGGGGUGUAUCUCUCUAUAGCAAUAACAUAAGCACUAUUGUUCUUAUUCUUUCUAGGUCAGGACAAUUUCUUAUGUUAAAUUGUGUUUCCCAACGUUCAAAUAAAAGCUCUAUUGUUAAGGCGAUAUUCACCUUAGUUUUUUUGAAUGGGUUGUUCAAACACUUCAAAGCACAAUGCUGCUUUCUUUUCCGAGGAAGAUUUUAUCGAAAUUGCAGUCAACUCAUUCUUUGGGAAGGACCUAAAGUGCGUCUCUGUAGAAUAGAGAGCACAAGUGUGUCUUACUUUUGGUUUUGGACAUAUAAUAUUUAUUUAUGUACUGAGUUUUUGGAGCAACACUGAGCUAUCAGCACUGAAGUUAUUAAUUGAUGAACUCUUAAGUGUAAGUCCAUUCAUCUUGAAAGAAAGGGAGUGUCCCCAUGCUUCUUGCACCACCCCUCGCCCCUCUUUUCUUCCUUUUAUCAGAUUGCUGAACACUUCUUCUAUUUCAAACUUUGAGAGGAAUAUAGUGGGUGUGUGGUAGUCUGAUUUCCAAUUUGUUAAGUGUAUUAGUUUAGUAUUUAAAGGUGACAUGUCUGUGAUUUCAUUGUAUUCGAAGUUGAGAUUUGAUAGGGUUAUCUAAGAUUAUACAUUUUUAGACCACUGAAUUGUAAAUACCGUAACUUGUGGAAGCUUUUGGCUUAUUCAAGAAUCUUCAGUUGUUCGAAGUGCACUUAAAUAAUUGCUUUUUGUUGGGAGAAUAUUUUUUCUACUCAAACAUUCAGCCUUUUGUAUUGAAGGAUUGUUAUCUUGUAGACAUUAACUAAAUAGCUAUUUUAAUGAAUGGCCUGUGCUUUACCUAGGGGUGGCAAUGGACCCGGACCCGACCUGGGUCCGGGUAUGGGUCAAAAAAUUGGACCCGUCAGGUCGGGUCUAGGUCCAAAUCUUGGACCCGGACACUAUUCGAGUCUGGUUCCAUGUGGACCCUACUCGAUCUGAUCUGAACAAUGUUAAUAUUUAAAUAAUAUUUAGUAUAUAAUAUUUAAAAAAUAUCUAAAUAUACAUGAGUAUAUAUUUUUAGUUAUAAUAUUCAAAUAGUACAUGCAUAUAUUUAAUAUAAUAUAAUAUUUAAAGGGUAUGGUUUCUAUAAGGUUGCAACCUUAAACAAUCCAAUUAAGGCGCACCUCCAAAUUUUAUCGUAACAUGUAAUUUUGGUGUAAAAAAUUAUUAGGAUUACCUCAAAAUCUAUUUUUAUAUUUAAUUAUAAAAUUUUAAACUCUAAAAAUGGUUAAAAUCAAGAUCUAUAAGUAUAACAUAAAGCAUGAGAGUCUCCUCUAGCGUCUCUUGCUCGCUCUCUCUCAUCUCUCACCUUCUUACCUGUUGGAACGAUACCUACAAGCUCUACCCCAGGACCUCGCCGCGCUCUCCUUCUCUCCGCCUCAAGCUGCGACCUUUGUUCUCCCCUUUGCAGUUUUCCUCCCGUCCCCCCCUUUCUUCCUCUUUUGCCUAGGUCGUAGCCUCCUCUCAGCCUGUUUCUUCCCCCACUCAGUCCGAUCCCCCCUGCUUCCUGAGCACAAGAAUUGCAGUUCCGCCUUGUCCCCUUUCCUCACUUUCUGCAUCUCUAUCAUCCAGGGCGAGGUCGAUAAAGCUACGCCCAAACUGCUCUCCUCUCUGAUUGGCAGCUUCCUCCCUGCCCGCCAUAACAUCAGAGGCAUUGAAAGUGCUGCAAAAAUAUUAUGGAGGGAACCUAACAUUACUUGCAGCUGCCUAGCAAAGGGAGAAAUCCUCUUUUCCUUCCCCUCUUCAAGCAUUGCCCAACUAGCUCUUCAAGGUCAAAAAUCUUUCUCCUUUCAUGGAGCCGGUUGCCGCCUCUGCCCUUGGUCGCCGUUGGAGGGUUCUUUUAGGAAACAAAGAGUGUGGUUAACUUUCAACCACAUCCCUCUCCAGGUUUGUACACUAGACACUUUUCGUCGCCUUUCUACUGCUUGCGGCUCCUUCAUAUCGAUCCAUUGGAUCUCGAUUGAGUCCCUUCCCUUGGGCUCUCUAUCAGAACCCUAGUGGAAGUUCUUGACCCCCUUUUGAUUCCCAAAACCUUAUGGCUCGAAGCCUCCGACCUUUACUUCCCUAUCUCCACCUACUGGUCUCUGGCCUCCCCUCCAUCCCCUGCUUUCCUUCACCUUGCUACCCUUACCAAACCUAAGGUCACUGACACUGAUUCCUAGAUUCUAGUCUCAAAGAAAACCCACUCAUCCAGUAGACGCCGAAUGCCUCCUCCAAGGUUGCCUGUCAAUGGUAGCCUCAUAGCAGCUCAGCCUCUUCUGCUGGCCCUUUCUCCGGCCCAGCCACCUCCGAUGUCCAAGUCUUCUCAAGGGAGGGUCCCCAUUGACCCGCUCCGUACUGUGCAGGCCCGCGACCCGCCUACUUCUGCCCCCCUAGCCAACUUUCGUCGACCCAAAAAAGAGGCCUGUUUGGACCUUUUGCCUCUUUCCUCGGGUCCCAAGCCUGACCUGGGGCGGUCCUUUUCGAAAGAUCCCGCCUUCCUUUCUCCCGCCUUGUGUCCUCCUGACAAGCCACCCCUCUCCCCUGCCUUUGUUCCACACGUGGCAGCCGUUCCCAUCCCUGUACACGCGUCAUACGAUGAUCCACCCAACCCUCUGACAAGCUCGACUCCGCCUGCCGUCGUUCACCUACCCUCCCCGCCUCUCUCCCUUCCACCUCGACAACCUCCCGUCCACCUGCAGCCUGCCUCACCCUCGACUAACGCGCCCUGCCACCUGUCCUCCUCGAGCCCUCCCCCUGCUCACCUGUCACCCGAGGAGCCCUCUUUCUCUCCCUCCACCGACUACCUGUCCCCGCCUGUUUCCUCCCCUAACCCUAUUUUUUUGCUGUUGCUCCCCCUGCUCCUCUGCCCUUCCCUCUCUUAUCUUGGCUCCUGUAGCCCUUUUCCUCCCUUGCACGAGGUUGCUGAGGAUCCCCCUUGGUCACCAUGACACCUCUCUUCCUCCUCUAACCAGCCGCUCCCCGCGUCGCUGCACCCUCAUCUCCCCCCCAUUUCUUUAACUUACCUUCCUCUUUGCCUUCUUGACUGCUCUCCGCCUCUCCACUUUCCUGUGGAUCUUUCGCAUCUCCCCCCUAUGGAUCGUAAUCUCCUCCCCCAAGGCUUAGCGACCGCCCAAACUUGGGACCCCACUCCCCCGGAUUCUGACUCCCUCUCUUUCAUGCUGGCCCCUCUCCUCUCUUACACCCUCCUCCUUGUUCGUUUCACCAGAGUAAACUCCCUUCACUUCACCUGGCUCUCUUACCAUUCCACCCUUAUCGCCACCCUUUCCUCCGUCCAGACCUACCAUUUACCUCGCUUACCUCCCCUCCCCUACUCUGCCCAUCCUUGUGCCUUUCCACUCUGACACCCAACAGGCUUUCAGCUUGCCUGUCUAUCCCCCCUACCCUUAUCAGGAGCCCUUUCCUCUUCUGGACUCUCCCCCUGUUGAUUUGAACUUCCCCCAUCCUCUCUCGAGGAGUCCCCUUGUGCUUUCUACCUCUCAGGUGUCUGAGCCGUUUCAGCACCUGGCCCACCUCCCGAACCUCUCCCCCCCUUACCCCUUGACCUCUAUCCUUCUUUUAGCCCUGAGUCAGCCACAACUAUUCGGGGUUUUCUCCGGUCACACUAGUUAGCCUAAUCCCUUUACCCCACCUGUCGUUGAAGGUCCUAGCCAUAGCAACGAUGAGGAAGCUGUCGCCAGGAACUCUAACAUCGAAGACAAGAUGAAAGAGAUGUACAACAUCAUGGGUUUUCACCAUGAUGGCCCAAAAGGUCCAAGCCACAAGUUCAUUACCGCAGACGCGCACAACAGACUCAAGGUAUGACCCAAAGGUCAUAGAGAACUUCUUAGCCUUUUCCCCUCCCCCCCUUUCCAGGACAAGCCUUCCCGUGACUCCCCUGCUUUCUUCCCAUCUUCUUCCCCAAGAGGUCAUCCAGACUGGCCUUAUCCCCACCCCCAUCAUCCUCUCUAUGAAGAUAGUGACCUGGAACAUUAGGGGACUGGGUCACCAGUCAAAGAAGCAUGCGGUCCGAAACCUUUCUCUCAAGUACUCCCCCUCGGUUCUGGCCCUUAUAGAAACCAAACAACCUGAACCUAAUCAGCAGACCGUCUGCCUUAUUUGGGGUUUUAGUCCUUCCCAGUGGGUGGCUCUAACAGCCGAGGGAGCGUAAGGAGGAAUUUGGGUCAUAUGGAACCCACAAGAACACAAUCUCAUCUCCUCUCAUGUGGGAGACUUCUCGGUUACCAUCCUCCUCUCCACCGUGUCUAAUGGUUCUUCUUGGAAAUUCUCGGCCGUUUAUGGCCCAAAUUCUUCCUCCCUCAUACAGAGUUUUUGGGCUGAAUUGGACCACGUUGCAGCUCUCCCUCACCCUACCUGGUGCCUAGGAGGAGAUUUCAAGAUGGUCCCAUGAAUGUAACACCUCAUCCUCCAUUUCUCGGGACAUGAGGGAUUUUUCGGACUUUAUUAACGGGAACGCCCUCAUGGACAUUCCUUUCCAAGGCAGCCUAUUCACGUGGUUUAACCACUCUUCGAGCCCCUCCCUCUCUAAACUUGACCGUUUCCCCUUCUCUACUGAUUGGGAUCUUCAUUUCCCGUAGUCUCAAGCCUUAUCACUACCCAAACCCAUCUCUGACCACUGCUCCAUUCUCCUUAAUACUCCAUUCUCCUUAAUACUAAUGCCAUCCUAAGAGGCCCUAAACCUUUUAGGUUUGAACUCCUUUGGCUGGAAGAACCAUCUCUCCUUCCCAAUAUGCUUUUAUCCAAGAGAGGCAGAUUUUGGAUGGGGGGAUGGGGUCUUGGUAGCCAAUGAGUGUCUCCACUCCAGACACCUAGCUAAGAAACCAGGUUUAAUCUUCAAAAUACAUUGGGAGAAAGCCUACGAUCACGUAGACUGGGCUAUGUUGGAGGAAACCAUGUCACGGAUGGGCUUCAGAGAUCGUUGGAGGAGGUGGAUGAGGGGAUGUUACUCCAACCCCCAUUUAUCCAUUAUCCUUAACGGAUCACCGAAAGGGUUCUUCCCGGCUCACUGGGGACUUCGUCCCCUUAUCUCCCUUCCUCCUUGCUGUAGCUGCGGAAGUGUUCUCAAGAUCCCUCACUCGCCUCUAUCAGUUCGGCCUUUUAUCUGGCUUCACCACCAGCAACCAGGGUCCCCUCAUGUCACAUCUGCAAUACGCAGGCGACACCCUGGUUUUUCUUGAUGCCACACGAGAGGAAAUCAACACCCUCAAACUUUUUCUUAAGUGCUUCUCGACAGCUACUAGGUUCAAAGUCAGUAUGAGCAAAUCUAAAAUGAUGGGAGUCGCCCUGUCUCCUGACCAGGUGACUGCCCUUAGUCCAGACUGGGAAUGCAAAGUGGAAGAUCUCCCCUCCACUUACCUGGGUCUCCCUCAGGGACUUGGGAAACCCAAAAAAAGGCUUUGGUCCCAGGUCCUCGACAAAAUUGAGAGACGCCUUUCUACCUGGAAAGGCAGGUACCUCUCACCUACGGGUAGAGUUGCCCUGAUUAAGGCCACCUUGGCAAAUACCUCAGUUUAUCUUAUGUCCCUUUUCCAGAUGCCGGCACCGGUGGCCAACCGCAUAGAACAACUUAUGUGGAACUUCCUUUGGUCUGGCCAAGCAGAUAAGACUAAAUUUCAUCUGGUAGCCUGGGAUAACACAUGCCUACCAAGAAAGCAAGGGGGCUUAGGGAUUCGAAUCCUCAGAAAGCAUAACACAACUCUUUUAGAUAAAUGGUGGUGGUGCCUGCUCUCUGGGCUCAAAUUUUGCACAAAAAAUACAGAAUCCACGAGGAUAUUUGGGUACUAGAGACCAUCCAAAAACAGAGGGCGUCUGGUGUAUGGCUAUCUCUAGCUUCUUCUCACCUUUGUUCAGAAGACGCAUUAGAUUCCACGCUAGAGUUGGCAACAGAGUCGAAUUCUGGAAGGACCUCUGGUUGGGUACUUCACCUUUGUGCAAGGCCUUCCCUUACCUUUUUUACCUCUCCUCUGAUGACAACUCCAUUGUUGCUGAUGAACUGCCUAUUGUUGAUGGCAGAAGAUCUUAGUGCCCUUUAUUCCGCAUAACCUUUUCUGAGGAUGAGUGCACUCAUUUCCUUCGUCUACUGGGUACCUUAUCCUCCCACUUCCUCCCCUAUUCCGGCAGCGACUCUUUGGUUUGGAGCCUAUCCCCUUCAGGCCUUUUUUCUGUAACCUCUUUCUACAAAGCCCUCAUUCAACCUCCAACCUUUGCCCUCAACCCCACCUCGAUCUUGUCGAAAUGUGGUCACACCAUAGCUGCACCAAAGAUCCAGUUCUUUUGUUGGAUCGCAUGCUCCCAUAGAGCCCUUACAGUCGACCAACUUCAAAGGAGAGGUCUCUCCUUACCAAAUAGUUGUAAACUUUGCCUCAGUGAGGAGGAAUCCAACUGUCAUCUGUUCAUUCUCUGCGACUAUUCCGGCCAACUGUGGUCUCUUUUACUCCAACUCUUUGGCCUCCAAUGGGUUACCCCACCCACUGUCAAAGCCCUCAUCACCUACAACUUCGAUUCUCAAUGGCCUUUGGCUGGGAAGUUAUCUGGUCUCUAUGGCUGGAAAGGAACAAUAGGAUUUUCAAUGGUGAUCAGCUCCAACUGUCGGCCCCUUUUCACAAGAUAGUCUCGUUAACCACUUUCUGGGCUUCUCAUCAUAAAGCCUUUUCGGGCAAUCCCAGGAACAUUUUCUUCCCUCAUUGGCAAAACAUUCUCUACCAUAGACCUCCCAAACCCCCAAGAAUCAGCAGGAGGAGACCCCCACCAGUGGGCAGCAUCAAGCUGAAUUUUGAUGGCUGUUCUUUAGGCAACCUGGGUCCCUCAGGUGCAAGGGGUGUGUUCAGAGAUAGCCAGGGCUUAGUCAUCUUCUCUCUUUCGGCCCAUCUAGGGACUUUCGAUUCCCAAUAUACAGAAGCCAUGGAUCUCCCACUGGGCUUGAGAAACUUUAAACUUUCAUGGGGCUCCUCACUGAUAGUGGAAGGAGACACUUCUAGCACAAUGUCCUGGGCUAGAGGCUUGUCCCCCCCUCCUUGGCAUUGUCCUCAAUCUUUGAUGAAAUUUCAUAUUUAUGCAGGGAUACCAGCGUCUUAUGGCUGCAUACUACUGGCGAAGGAGGGAGCUAGUUUGUGUUUGGACUCCCUGGCUAGGUCCAACUCCUUUUUUGUUCAGGACCUAAGCUGUACUGACCUUUAGACUGGGUCUAACUCCUUUUUUGUUCAGGAUCUCUACAGUACAGUAUACCACCUCUCUUUUUUGAGCAAGUCACUGCGCAGUUUUUUGUAUAUCUCAUGGUAUAUCUUGUAGGAUGGGUGCUUCUUAUAUGCCUUUACUGAUCUUGGAAGACUAAUGCUUUAAUGUAUUUUUUACUGUUAGUCAUCAUGGGAGGGUGUGCUCUCAGUCUUAUCUCAUGUAAACUCCCAUAGUAAUACAAUGUUAACCUUUCUCAAAAAAAAAAAAACAAAUGAAAAUCUUGAAAAUUGACGGUCUAGAUAAUGCGUUGCAAGAUGCACUAUUUUUGGGACUCAAAAUCUUUUUUUUUUCAUAGUCAUACAUCUCGUUGUCGAGAUGAUCAAUUAGAGGGUUUUUCAACAUUAGAAAACCUUUUCCGAUAGAUUUUUGUGGUGCAUCCAUAAUUCUACAUUUUAAGGUUGCAACCUUAUAUAAACUUUUUCCAUAUUUAAAUAUAUGUUUUUUAUUUUUUGGUCGGGUCCAAUCGUGGACCCGACACGACCCAUUGCCACCCCUAGCUUUACGCUUUGUUCUAAUAAUUUAACCUCCAGCAUCAAUUCGUUUCUCUCUUUUGCCAUUGUUGUUUACUAUGUUUUUCCCAAUGUAUAUUCCUUUCUCAACUGCUUAUUGAAUAAAGCAUUCUUAUAAAAACAUUUCCUUUAUUUUUAUGUUGAUAUAUGUUGAAUACUGAUUUCCUUUUCUAUAGUUGCCAGAACUUGUUUUAAUUUGAUGGUUUCUAUGAUGAUGGCAAUUUUAGGGGGCAAAUGGAAACUACUCAAACAAAUUUAUGACAUAUCAUGCUGAAAAGCUGCACAAGGUGAAUGUCACUGCUCCUUAUAAAUUGCAUCCUUUUUGGGGGAAAAACCUAAAAGAAUGCCUGGAACACAUGCAUAAAUUAAGCAGGUGCUCCGGAAACCUGGAAUCUCAAAAAAUUCCUAAGGUAUUUUCAACAUCAAAAGCUGCAUGGAUACGUCCUUUCUUCUUCAAUAUCUUGUCCCCUGUCCAGUAUAUGAAACACCCACAAUUGAGGGUAUUUUAGUGAAAUAUAGUUUGUAUAUGUGAUGCAUUUUACUCGCUACCCUUGUUCUGGUGUUUCAAACACUGGACAAAGGGUUAGAUAGUCAUUUGCAAAAAUGACUAGUUCUUGAGGUACCAAAUUUUGAGCUCCUGCGCAGUAUUUGCAAUGUUCCAGGUCAUAUUUUGUUUCCCUUCCCCUUGGGGAGCCCCCAGCAAACACAUGCAAUUCUAAUAUCCUCUUUCCAUCAAUGCAGGAUGCAACAAGGGGUAAUGGUCAGUAGUCCUCUUAGCUUCUCAAAAGUUCCUUCUUUUGUUCCUUAUCAAUGGGUUUUUUUUCUUUGUACGAAUGAUUGAAUUUAUCUUCAAUAAAAAGGUAAUGGCAGGUAAAAAGAAAAUAAAUUAAUCUUUUUUAUGAGCAAUUGAUUUCAUUUAAUGUUCCCUACAACAUGUCACCAUUACAAAACAAAGGCGCAAGUUGGAAAAAGUUUCCAAGCUUCGUUAGAGAGCAAAACAUUGUGGCCUUAUGCUAUUAUAUUGCAUGUUUACUCCCUCAUCUGAAUGCUAAUUUUAGGAAUACUCUAUGUUUGUGCAUGCGUGUGCAUGUGUGUGUGAGAGAGAAAUACUUAGAUUUGAACUUUCAAUAUGUAUUAUAUACCUGGGGAGGCAUUAAACUUAUUAUGUAAAGGGAAAAUUAUAAAUACCCCUCCAAAAUAAACUUUGCACAUAUCCUACCCUCAAAUACUUUUAGUAUCACACCUUAAACUCCAACACUAUUUUUUCUUAUAUUUGUUCCUGCAGUAAAAAAGUCAAAAAAAUUUAGAUUAAAUUACCCUUUUAUUCUUUUACCCACCCUUUCUUUCUCUCUUUUUACCUGCCUCUCUCUCUCUACCCCCUUUACCCACCCUCUCUCACUCUCUCUACCUGCCCUCUCUUAUUCUCUCUCUACCCGCCAUCUCUUUCUUCUCUCUACCUCUCUCUCUCUCUCCACCCACCCUCACUUAAUCUUCUCUCUCUACUACCUCUCUCUCUCUCUCUCUACCUGCCCUCUCUCUCAAACCUCGGGAUUUUUCCAGCGAGUCUAUUACUUAAGAGGUCAAUUUCAAUAAAAUGGUGACACCCACUAUCCUCCAUUAAUUUCCUCUCACUACAAGCAACAUUUCUGCCUCCUGCUAAUGUACAUCCCCCUUUCACUCUCUAGAAUUAUAGUGGCUUCCCUCCAGGUCUUUUGGCCUCGAUUUAGCUGAAUCCCAUUAUCAGACGUUGAAUAUUACUGGUCCUUAAUUAGAAGCAAACAGCACACCUCAAAAAUUUUCAGUUUGUUUCCGCCAAAUGGGGGCCUUGGGACGCUGGUUGGCUGGAUAUGGUUGUCGCGAGGAAACCAGCUGGUUGGCCAGAAAUGGUGCUCAGUGCCUCAAGAGUAGGGAUCUUGGCCGCCGGAAAACCACCCGUGCUAUUAUUCUUCUGGCUGGGAAUGUAUGCCGAAGAGAGAGAAAACCAGCUGGUUGGCCGGAAAUGGUGCGCGAUGCCCCAAGAGUAGGGAUCUUGGCCACCGAAAAACCAGUGCUAUUAUUCUUCUAGCCGGGCAGGAAAGCCGAAGAGAAAGAAAACCAGCCAGUUG